Molecule: long non-coding RNA, 2510 nt
Filed under: Olea europaea subsp. europaea
Lineage: Eukaryota; Viridiplantae; Streptophyta; Magnoliopsida; Lamiales; Oleaceae
Source: RNAcentral
CAUUAUUAAACCCUACAUAAAUUCACUUUUAUUUAUUUUUCCUCAAAUCUACAUCUUCUGAUCUCUUCCCAUUUUUUUCCUUCCGUUCCAUAAUAAUUUUCUCUAGAAAACUGUGUUUAGAAAAGUCUCAGAUUUGUUCACAGAACCCUUAUCCUGCGAGUCAAUUUGGGUAAUUUUUGUUCUCCAAAUACCUAAUUAUACUUAUCUUAUUUUUUUAAAUUCGAUAUUAUUUUCAAUUUGAGAUCGAUUUAUAAUAUGUUUGGCUUUUUGAGAAAUUAUAGAUCUGGAAAAUGUUAUGACAUGGAAAUAAUUGUCGCAGAAAUAAUAGAGAUCGAAUUGGACAUGGGGUUUCUGGUGACAACCCUUAUUUUCCUUGUGGUUGGGAUCAUCGCGUCUCUAUGCACUAGAAUCUGCUGCAACAGAGGACCCUCUGCAAAUCUGUGCGUUUAUUUUUUUUCUCAACAUCAUUUUUUUUCUUUUUUGUUUUGAGUUUGAGUUUGAUUAGAUGAUUUUUACCCAGUUCUUCAUCGCAUUCCUUGAAUCGCAAAUUGUUUCUUGACUUCAGUAUUUGAAUGUAUUAUCAAGCUAACGCUAAUGUUUGUCUGCCCUGGCUGUGUAUCAUCAAACAAUCCGAUUCUUACUAUUGUAGUACUUACGAUAUCAAGGAGAGAUGGUUUUUGUUAUUAUAUGGGUUUUUGGAUGAAGGAGCCGCACCUUGAGCUGAUUUAUUAUCGUAGAUAAAGUUUUCCAUCUUAAUCAUGUCUGAUAGCUGGAAUUUUAUUUAUGAAACAAAUGUUAUUUUGCUUGUUAGAUACUUCUUAGAACUAAUCAGCAAUAGUUUGAGGGUGAAUACUUUGUUGGACUUGCAACUUGCGAGAUGCUAGUGUUUUGAUGAAUGAAAUAUGAAUCUUUUCCUGGCUACAGUUGGAUUGAUGCCUCCAAUUAGACUGUAGUGUGUUAAGGAUCUAUGUUUUAAAAAUUAUAAAUGAUAACUGUGUGUCAAGGUAUUUACAUCCAUUAUGGGAUUUCAAGCCUAGAGAUGCUUCCAAGUAUAAAUCAAAACAUUUUGAAGCAUAAACUUCAACAUAAGCUAAUAAAUAAAUCAAGAAAAUGAUAAAGCUAUGAAAGUAACGAAAAAGAAAAAAAUAAUGUUAACAAGUUUAACAUUUAGCUUAUUAAUCCAAAUUCUACUAUUCAAGAAUAUAAAUCUAACACAUAAUUUCAGUCUUCGAGUGAAUGAUAAUUAACCAAGCAAAGAGCAAGUAAAAGGAGAAAAAGUUAUUCGAGAGGAAACACUCAAACUAGUGCAAGCAAUACCUAGAAUAGAAGAAUAAAAAUAUAACCCAACUGACAAUUAACAAAAAGUAGGAUUGCUCAGCAACUAAGUCUUUUAACAAAUGAAACAGCUAAUCAGUUGUUCUAAAGAAUUUUGUGCUUACUCAUUUUUAAAGAUAAAUGAGAGGAAAGAAAACCAAAAGACAGGAGGUAGCAAAAGAAUUAUAAAAGAAAACAGAAUAGGGAGAACUUAUCAGGCACACCUCAUUCUGUCACCAAAAAGCUGCAACAUAACCGAUGGGAUGAUGUAUGGCAGUUUUAAGAGCGGAGGACUUAGCAUGCAUGGACUUUUCACUUCCCUUUUCUACUCAAAUUCUUCCUAUCAUUUAGUUUUUGUGUUGAGGUAUGUUUAAAACAUUCCAAAAGUCCCUUAAAAUGCUCGAGGUAUGAAAUAAAACAGACUAAAAGACUGAAGUUGGUAAAACUAUAAAUCAGUGAAGAAAGGGAGAGUUUGAGAAGUGCACACCUAAUUGACCUGAGGCUUGUGCCUGAAAGCAUGCCCCUCAGUCAAACAUGCUCUUAAAGUAUCUUCUUUCUUCACUUGUGAGCACUUUCCUUAAAAAAAUUACCAAACACAUUAAAAGUCAUGCAGAUAGGCUCUUAAUAUAGUUUUAUAAUUUAAUGUCAUGUCUUGAAUAUUUGAAUCCAAUUAAUAAUGCCAAUCACAGUGUUGUAAUCAUACCUGUUAAGAGUUUGGUGCCAUUAACUUUAUUGGUGGGACUCAUUCAACGUGUUAUGCUAGGUAAAAUAUUGAAUAGAUGUUUGCUAUACUCUUGAUCAUUCACAUAGCUUUGGCAACGGUGGUGACUCCUGCCUUGCAUAUUGCUAACUGUAUUUCAUGUUGCAGGUUACACCUGACAUUGAUUAUUACCGCAACAGUAUGCUGCUGGAUGAUGUAAGUUGUUGUCCCUUGUUUAAGUAAAAACUAGAUUUGUAUUGCGCACAUGCCAUCAUCAAUCUUCCUACUUCUUUAGGAGUAAUAUGAUUUCAACCCUACACAAUCACAAUUAUUGCUGUGCCCAACUAGGUUUUCUUUGGAUUCUUAUUUUUAUUUUUUAGGUGGGAGUCAGAAGCGGAAUAUGUUCACAUUACUGCAUAUGCGUAUCACUUGUUAAAAGCAGUGUUCUAAAAGGCGUAAGAUAUGACAAGCUUCAAGCUUUACGAGCUUAGGCGAG